This is an RNA transcript of Raphanus sativus (radish), 2260 nucleotides long. It is a transcript of the gene named protein ANTI-SILENCING 1, with no coding region annotated. NCBI's taxonomy places the organism in Eukaryota, Viridiplantae, Streptophyta, Magnoliopsida, Brassicales, Brassicaceae. The transcript has 11 exons. The record is from RefSeq and is a predicted model, not a curated record.
UUCCUUCUUGAAAUCGCUGCUUCUCUGUGGAUUUUUAAGAAACUUUUAGCUGUUUCCGUACAGUACACACGCAAUGCUUUUACUGAUUUUGCGUCACUGUUCCAUCUCCUUGCUCCGUCACUGUUUACAGAUUUUGGUUUCUAGGUCGAAUCCUGCUUCCUGAUCGAGCCGGCUUGGCUGCAGAAUAGCCGAUUUCAAUUUCUGCGACAUUGUUAUCUUGUAGAGCUGUAGAAUCUGUGUCUUUCGGAGGGUACCGUUCAGCUCAUCAACGUGGGGCUAGGGUUUUAGUAGGGAGAAACGUUUUUGAGUGUUGCGAAAUCAAUUCGUAAAAAGUUUAUUUUUUUCCUUAGUUAAGGAUUUAAUGUUGCUGAGUGUUCCGUUCCUUAUGAUUGUUUAUUUCGUGGACUUGCACUCUCUGAUUUUACUUUUGUUGUAUCUAACUUUGUUUAAGUGUCUUCUCUCUAGGAGGAUUGAUUGUCUCUCUAUGCUGCAACCAAACGGUGAGGGUGGAGAACACCACCCUGACUUCAAGUGGGGCCUUAAGAAAGCGGUGGGACGGACGGAUAAAAGCGUCAGCUUUUACGAAUCCUUCACCUUUGAGGACAUCGAGUACCGCCUCUUCGACUGUGCUUAUUUCCAAAUCCAAGGUCAGUGCGAGACCUCCGUCGGGAAGCUUAUCAGGAUGUACGAGACUUCAGCUGGUGAGAAGAAAGUCAAGGUCCUUUGGUUUUUCCGACCUAUGGACAUCCGUAGCUACUUGAGAGAUUACGUGCCGCAGUGGGAUGAGUUGUUUCUCGCUUGUGGUGAUGACCCUGGGGUUUACAAUAUCAACGAUGUGGAUACAAUCUUGGGGAAAUGCAGUGUUGUGUGCUUAUCAGAUGACCGAAGGAACCCAAUACCAGGAAGAAGGGAGCUUAGGGAUGCUCGCUAUGUAUUCUCCCGCACCUUCGAUACAAAACUGAAAAUUAUAUCAGCGGAUUUUGCUGAUGCAAUAGCUGGAAUUAAAGUGGAGAGUUUCUUCAACAAGAGAAUACCUAAGGACCCUCAGAAACGCCUAAACUCAAGCGCAGCUCCGGUGAAAUCUUUUCGUUCAGAGUCGCGGUUAGGUAAAAACUAUGACAGAGAUGGAAAGCUGACGUGUAGAACAAGCCCAGUUAAGAAAGAAUUGUUGGCUGAUCGUGUACAUGUGAAGAAAUACCCUCCUGUCAGUACUGAUAUUACGUCAAGAGGUCUGAAAAAUAAAACCACACCAUCAGGGAGUCCACUUGUUUCAGGUUCAUCAGGUGAUCACAAACCUAAAAGGAGGAAGCUUCUACUCAAUACUCCAGAUUCAGAUUAUUGCCCUGAACCAAGAGAGAAUAAAUUCACCAAAAAUCCACCUCUUGUAGACAAAGCUCCACCAACUCAGACAAUUGGUAGAACCAGCUGGUACAAGAAACCGAAUUUUGAGGAGGAACUAAAAGGAGCUAUUGAAACAGAAAGGUUGGUCUUGUUUGAAAAUCUGGAACCAUCAUACACAUCGAUGGAGGUGGAGAAUCUUUGUAGGUACGCUUUCAAGGAACGAGUUGAUGCCCAGAUGAUCCCAGCAAGUCUUGUCUCUAACCCACAUAUUGGGAGAGCUCUCGUGAUAUUUGACACCAAAAAGGCAGCUGAUAAUGCCAUAUCUCGGUUAACCAGAGGGUGCCUGAUGUUAGAUGAUCAGAGGCCUCUAGUGUGUAGCAGAGAUUUCCCAAAGGAAGUCGGAGAAUGUGGAAGCUUUACUGGACAUCAGAGGCUGGUGGAUAGGGCUCUGAUGUCAAUUUCGAAAGUAAGAGAAAUGCCGUUUCUACAGCACACUGCACGCAGCCAAACCACAUUGUACACGAGUUAGCCGUGGAAUGGAAAGCUCUGCAUGCAAAGUCAGAAGGGAAGUGGAAGAGGUUACUAGAGGAACAAGACAAGGAAAUUAACAUCAUCUUCAGAAGAAAACACCCUAAGAGCGUCAGAGGAUAGGAGUAAGAUGCAAGUCCAUUGUCUCAGCAGCAUAAUUAAAGAGAUCAUAUGUUCGAAUUUGGGUUAAGUUUUUUGGAACCUAAGUUAAUGCCCUUUUGUGUCUUUAGGUGGCAUUAACUUAGUAGUCUCACCAGCUCUGAUGCUGAUCUCGGAAUUAGGACAUAGGGGGUACAUAACGAUUUGGCAGCUUUUUGAUGUCGUAUAUUGCCAAAAGGAAAACACAACCUGAGUAUAUCCACCAUCCACCUUUGCAAAUAGUUAGUUAAUG